This 1323-nucleotide ribosomal RNA is filed under the name Serratia sp. (in: enterobacteria). RNAcentral describes it as "bacterial SSU rRNA". It matches the Rfam family "Bacterial small subunit ribosomal RNA". Lineage: Bacteria; Pseudomonadati; Pseudomonadota; Gammaproteobacteria; Enterobacterales; Yersiniaceae. The record is from RNAcentral.
UGUCUGGGAAACUGCCUGGUGGAGGGGGAUAACUACUGGAAACGGUAGCUAAUACCGCAUAACGUCGCAAGACCAAAGAGGGGGACCUUCGGGCCUCUUGCCAUCAGAUGUGCCCAGAUGGGAUUAGCUAGUAGGUGGGGUAAUGGCUCACCUAGGCGACGAUCCCUAGCUGGUCUGAGAGGAUGACCAGCCACACUGGAACUGAGACACGGUCCAGACUCCUACGGGAGGCAGCAGUGGGGAAUAUUGCACAAUGGGCGCAAGCCUGAUGCAGCCAUGCCGCGUGUGUGAAGAAGGCCUUCGGGUUGUAAAGCACUUUCAGCGAGGAGGAAGGUGGUGAACUUAAUACGUUCAUCAAUUGACGUUACUCGCAGAAGAAGCACCGGCUAACUCCGUGCCAGCAGCCGCGGUAAUACGGAGGGUGCAGCGUUAAUCGGAAUUACUGGGCGUAAAGCGCACGCAGGCGGUUUGUUAAGUCAGAUGUGAAAUCCCCGGGCUCAACCUGGGAACUGCAUUUGAAACUGGCAAGCUAGAGUCUCGUAGAGGGGGGUAGAAUUCCAGGUGUAGCGGUGAAAUGCGUAGAGAUCUGGAGGAAUACCGGUGGCGAAGGCGGCCCCCUGGACGAAGACUGACGCUCAGGUGCGAAAGCGUGGGGAGCAAACAGGAUUAGAUACCCUGGUAGUCCACGCUGUAAACGAUGUCGAUUUGGAGGUUGUGCCCUGAGGCGUGGCUUCCGGAGCUAACGCGUUAAAUCGACCGCCUGGGGAGUACGGCCGCAAGGUUAAAACUCAAAUGAAUUGACGGGGGCCCGCACAAGCGGUGGAGCAUGUGGUUUAAUUCGAUGCAACGCGAAGAACCUUACCUACUCUUGACAUCCAGAGAACUUUCCAGAGAUGGAUUGGUGCCUUCGGGAACUUUGAGACAGGUGCUGCAUGGCUGUCGUCAGCUCGUGUUGUGAAAUGUUGGGUUAAGUCCCGCAACGAGCGCAACCCUUAUCCUUUGUUGCCAGCGGUUCGGCCGGGAACUCAAAGGAGACUGCCAGUGAUAAACUGGAGGAAGGUGGGGAUGACGUCAAGUCAUCAUGGCCCUUACGAGUAGGGCUACACACGUGCUACAAUGGCGUAUACAAAGAGAAGCGACCUCGCGAGAGCAAGCGGACCUCAUAAAAUACGUCGUAGUCCGGAUUGGAGUCUGCAACUCGACUCCAUGAAGUCGGAAUCGCUAGUCAUCGUAGAUCAGAAUGCUACAGGGAAAACAUUUGAGUUCUUUCCCCGCUCCGUCAGUCGCAAAAAGGGAACCCAGUUGAGUUUGAUCCGGCUCAGU